CCUACGGGUGGCAGCAGUGGGGAAUAUUGGACAAUGGGCGAAAGCCUGAUCCAGCCAUGCCGCGUGUGUGAAGAAGGCCUUCGGGUUGUAAAGCACUUUCAGUGGGGAAGAAAGCCUUGGGGCUAAUACCCUCGAGGAAGGACAUCACCCACAGAAGAAGCACCGGCUAACUCCGUGCCAGCAGCCGCGGUAAUACGGAGGGUGCGAGCGUUAAUCGGAAUUACUGGGCGUAAAGCGCGCGUAGGCGGUCUGAUAAGCCGGUUGUGAAAGCCCCGGGCUCAACCUGGGAACGGCAUCCGGAACUGUCAGGCUAGAGUGUAGGAGAGGAAGGUAGAAUUCCCGGUGUAGCGGUGAAAUGCGUAGAGAUCGGGAGGAAUACCAGUGGCGAAGGCGGCCUUCUGGACUGACACUGACGCUGAGGUGCGAAAGCGUGGGUAGCAAACAGGAUUAGAUACCCCAGUAGUC
RNAcentral lists this ribosomal RNA (465 nucleotides) under Vreelandella stevensii. Its description in RNAcentral is "partial 16S ribosomal RNA". It matches the Rfam family "Bacterial small subunit ribosomal RNA", at positions 338 to 795 of the family's 1533-position model. Lineage: Bacteria; Pseudomonadati; Pseudomonadota; Gammaproteobacteria; Oceanospirillales; Halomonadaceae. The record is from RNAcentral.